This 460-nucleotide ribosomal RNA is filed under the name uncultured bacterium. RNAcentral describes it as "bacterial SSU rRNA". It matches the Rfam family "Bacterial small subunit ribosomal RNA", at positions 340 to 789 of the family's 1533-position model. The record is from RNAcentral.
UACGGGAGGCAGCAGUGGGGAAUAUUGCACAAUGGGCGCAAGCCUGAUGCAGCCAUGCCGCGUGUAUGAAAAAGGCCUUCGGGUUGUAAAGUACUUUUCAGUCGUGAGGAAGGUGUUAAGGUUAAUAACCUUAGCAAUUGACGUUAGCGACAGAAGAAGCACCGGCUAACUCCGUGCCAGCAGCCGCGGUAAUACGGAGGGUGCGAGCGUUAAUCGGAAUUACUGGGCGUAAAGGGCACGCAGGCGGUUAAUUAAGUUGGAUGUGAAAUCCCCGGGCUUAACCUGGGAAUGGCAUUCAAGACUGGUUAGCUAGAGUCUUGUAGAGGGGGUAGAAGUUCCGAUGUGUAGCGGUGAAAUGCGUAGAGAUGUGGAGGAAUACCGGUGGCGAAGGCGGCCCCUGGACAAAGACUGACGCUCGAUGUGCGAAAGCGUGGGGAGCAAACAGGGAUUAGAUACCCGU